Molecule: ribosomal RNA, 465 nt
Filed under: uncultured bacterium
Lineage: Bacteria
Description: partial 16S ribosomal RNA
Rfam family: Bacterial small subunit ribosomal RNA
Source: RNAcentral
CCUACGGGUGGCAGCAGUGGGGAAUUUUGCGCAAUGCGCGAAAGCGUGACGCAGCGACGCCGCGUGAAUGACGAAGGCCUUCGGGUCGUAAAGUUCUUUCGGCAGGGAAGAAAAUGCAUAUAAGUAACUGUGUAUGUAUUGACGGUACCUGUAUAAGCAGCCCCGGCUAACUCCGUGCCAGCAGCCGCGGUAAUACGGAGGGGGCGAGCGUUGUUCGGAGUGACUGGGCGUAAAGAGCACGUAGGCGGUGUUGUAAGUCAUUGGUCAAAGACUAGAGCUCAACUUUAGUAAGGCUAGUGAAACGAGAAAACUAGAGUAUCAGAGAGGAUUGCAGAAUUCCAGGUGUAGCGGUGAAAUGCGUAGAUAUCAGGAGGAAUACCGUUAGCGAAGGCGACAAUCUGGCUGGAAACUGACGCUGAGGUGCGAAAGCGUGGGUAGCAAACAGGAUUAGAUACCCCAGUAGUC